UUAUUAAUUGUUUUAUUUUAUAAAAAUUUUUUUGUUUAGGUAUUAUUUAGAUAUAAUUUUUUUUAUUAUAGUUAAUUUGUACUGUGAGGGGGGUUUUUUAUAUUUUUAAAAGAAAGUUUUAUUUGUUGUACCUUUUGUAUCAGGGUUUAUUAAUUAGUUAAUAUUUUUUUAUUUUUCUCGAAUUAUAAGGAGCUAGUUAUUUAUUUAUUUUAUUGUGGAAUAAAUAUUUUUAAUUUAAAGCUUGAAAUGAAAUGUUAUUCGUCUUUUAAUAUAUCUAGUUUCUAAGGAAUUAGAUUUAAUCUAUUUACUUGGAGGGUUAAUACUAAUUAGUGUUUUACUUUUUAAUUAGAUAAUAUUUAAGGGGAUUAGCUUUUAAUUAUUUUUAUAAUUAUUUAUUUGUUUUUAUUUUGUGGGAUUAGAAUUUUUUAUCAUUUUAAAUAUGUUUUAAUUUAAUUAGUGUUUUUAUUAUUUUAUUUUAUUUAAUAUAUUACUUGGAUUUUUUGGGUAGUUUUGUGGCCUUAAUUAAUAAUGAUGAAAUUAGUAAUAUAAUUUGUUUUCUUUUUGGUUAGUUAGUUUUGGCUAAGGAACUCGGCAAUUAGAUUUUUCGCCUGUUUAUUAAAAACAUGUCCUUUUGAUUAUUAUUUAAGGUCUUAUCUGCCCACUGAUUUUUGAAGGGCCGCAGUAUUUUGACUGUGCAAAGGUAGCAUAAUAAUUAGUUUCUUAAUUGGGAGCUGGUAUGAAUGAUGGGACGAGAAAAUUACUGUCUUUGCUUAAUUUUUAUUGAAUUUAACUUUUUAGUUAAAAGGCUAAGUUGUUUAUAAAAGACGAGAAGACCCUAUAGAGUUUUAUAGAUUUAAUUUAUUUGAUUUUUGGGAUUAAUAUUCUUUAAGUUAGUUUUUAUUUUAUUGGGGUGAUUGGAAAAUUGUUUAAACUUUUCUUUUUUUAAUUCAUUUAUUUAUGAUUUUUUGAUCCAGAUUUUUUGAUUAUAAGAUUAAAUUACCUUAGGGAUAACAGCGUAAUUCUUUUAGAGAGUUCUUAUCGAAAUUAGAGUUUGCGACCUCGAUGUUGGAUUAAAAUUUACUUUAGGUGUAGAAGCUUUGAGGUUAGGUCUGUUCGACCUUUAAAAUUUUACAUGAUCUGAGUUUAAACCGGUGUGAGCCAGGUUGGUUUCUAUCUUUAUUUUAUUAAAAUAUUUUAGUACGAAAGGACCAUUUAUUUAUAUAAUAUAUUUAUUUUUGAGUAUUAU
Molecule: ribosomal RNA, 1246 nt
Filed under: Attagenus augustatus augustatus
Lineage: Eukaryota; Metazoa; Arthropoda; Insecta; Coleoptera; Dermestidae
Description: 16S ribosomal RNA
Rfam family: Archaeal large subunit ribosomal RNA (bases 1007-1165)
Source: RNAcentral